CCGCCCGUCACACCAUGGGAGUUGAUUGCCCCACCAGAAGCAGGUAGCCUGACCGCAAGGAGGGCGCCUACCACGGUGUGGUCAAUGACUGGGGUG
This 96-nucleotide ribosomal RNA is filed under the name uncultured bacterium. RNAcentral's name for it is "partial 16S ribosomal RNA". The record is from RNAcentral.